RNAcentral lists this long non-coding RNA (3044 nucleotides) under Strigops habroptila (Kakapo). Its description in RNAcentral is "lncRNA (ENSSHBG00005002116.1)". Lineage: Eukaryota; Metazoa; Chordata; Aves; Psittaciformes; Psittacidae. The record is from RNAcentral.
UGGUAGACAGUGUAUCUAUAUAUAUCUUGUGUGUAUAGCAUAGCAAUAGGAACCAGAACAGAUCUAGCUGUUUGUGUUGCCGUUGUGAUAAUGUUGCUAGCUUGUGAAAGUCAUUAUGGGAAAACUCUCUUUGAGUAAUUUCCAUGGUGAACCACAACCACUAGGUUUGGAAAACGAUUAGGUGAUAUAGACCAGCAUUUCUCAGCAUUGCAGUGGCCAGUAAUACUGUUGCAAAGUUUAAUUACCAGCAUUCAUUUCCACUUACGUGAGUGAGGAAUCGACCAAAACGGGGGUAAUAGUAAAGAAAUGUUCACAGUUAAGUCUAAUUGUUAUUUGGUUUUAAAUGAAAAAUAUGGCAGUGGUACAACACAAGGAAGCCUUUGGUUUUUCCAAAAUCUCUUUGUGAGGCUCUCUGAUUUAAAGAGGCCAAAAAAAUUGUAGGCUCAGAAAUACUUGCAGAAAGUUAAGCAAAUGCUGGAAUGUUUGCAUAUUUGUGAGGAACUACUUAGUUGUCAAAAUUGAUAGUCUGCCUUUUAAAAGUAAUGAACUAUGUGUAUAUUUACAUGUUCUUUUCAUGGAGAAACAGAAAGACAGCAUCAUCUUCCUAUGAAUCCCUACUUGCUGCAAGAAGUUUCAAGUGUCAUUAGCACUUGGUAAAAUUGAAGUUUCUCCAAUGGUUUUCAGCUUCAUUUAAAGCCAUCCUCCUGGCUCUUUAAAUGCCAGCAUGUUUGUUAUUUCUUCUACAGUGAAUAAAUCUUGUGCUGUUCCUUUCUGAGAAGUUCUUUCUCUAUUGUGCUUCCCAUAAGAAUGAUAGUAAAAGUACUUUACAUAUCCAAAGGCAUGUAUACAAUUUAUUAGAAACAACCUACCAGGAAAAAAAAGGCAGUGUAACAGUCAGCUGUUUGUGCCCACUAUGUGCAAAAGAAAAGUGACCUAUAAGCAGAUAUUUCAACUGCUUCACAGGUUGCUUGUCCCGUGAUGUUCAUCGCUGUUACCAUAUAUGUUGUUGGUUAAGCCAUUCUUAUGAGUUUUACUGUAAAAUUUCUCCUCCAAAUGUCUGUGAAGGGCAAAUAGUGAUUAAAUCAGUACCUUUGAGAGGUGGAAACCCUGAGGCCAGAUCAAAAUUAGUCUUGGUGACCAACACCUGGACGACUAAGAUUAAACUAUGCUUUUCUGAGAACCACACUGCCAAGCAACACAAAAGUGAAGGAUUUUCUUUCCUCCUUGUUCUUAUGGUUAAAAGUUAUAGAGAUAAAAUGAGUUACAGUGUGAUGAGCUGGCUACCUUGUGAUUCGUUCCCAGUAACCACAGAAAAACUUCAUCUGACCUUGUAGAUGUGAGGGGAGAGAUGUGAAAAAGCACAUAUCACUUAUGGUAGAGACUGCAUCCUGACUGCAAAAAGGUUAAUGAAAGUAGAGGUCAGGCACUAACCUGCCCUCCCUGGUUAACUCAGCUGGAGGUCAUUUUACGGAAAGGAACCCUUGUUAUGGAGAAGAGUUUUGGUGCAAAAGUAUUAGGGAAGGAUGCAAGUUGUCAUUAAAUGAUACAGAGGAGUUGGCAGUGAAGAAACUUUCUAUUUCCUCCCCACUUUCCCACUCUCCACUUCACAGUUUGCCUCCCCCUGGUUGUGCCGACACAACUAGAUGUUGGGCUGUGAGAUAAACCAGAUCUCUGAAAUGAUCCAAGUAAAAAUAACUCUUCUGACUAUCUUACAACUGAAGUAUUACCCUUGCAGAGCUCUUGAAGACCAAUUUUAAUGUUUAUUUUAUUUAAAAGAAAUAAGACAAAAAUCAUUGUCUUAUAAGGAAAACACUACUCUUAAGCAUUAUAAAGCAGUGCAUCAUGCCUUUUUCAGUUCAUAGGUUUUUUAUAACCAGAAGGGACUAAACAUUAUGAAGAUGAUUUCAAGUUCAUGGAGAAUAAAUGAAUUGAAUUUUGAGUGAGAAGGAAAAAUUGACACCCUAAACUUACAACUAUAUUGGCAGGCUACCUAAAAAUGUAAGACUGCUUAUUUUAAAAAGAGAAAGAGAGUGAGAGCUAACCUUAAUAACAAGAAAACAUGCAAGAUCAAGUGUAAGUUUCUGAAAGAUAAAUUUAUCCCACUUACAUAUUACUGCUGCUUUCUAAAGCUGUCUCUACCUAAUUUAAAUAGAUUGUUGAGAAAACCUGCUAAAUAAUAGAAAUUAGAAAGUGUGCAUUUCAUACAAGCAGGGAACAAGAGAAUAAGCAGAUUACCUAAUAAUUAAUGUCUGUCCAAAUGCUUGGCAGGGAUAACUUUAAAAGCCAGUGCUCAAUAUUAUGCAAAAGAGAAGAGAUGGAAGGUUAUGGAACAGCUCCUUCAAUAAAAUGGCAGUGGCAUUUAAUUCCUAAAUUAUUUGUAUAACACGCACUGUAUUUUAAUUCUGUUACUUUCACAAAAUGCAUAUUAUGCUAUUUAUGCUAAAACACUUUCUUAAAGAGUUGUCUGUGAAAGACAAGGCAAUCAGAUGUUAGCAGAAAAAAAAUCAUUAAAAGUUUGCUCUUACCAGUGCCCUGAUAGUGUAGCCUCAGAGGGGCUUAACCUGAGUAUUUCAAUUUUCUGCUUUCUCUCUAGCAUAGUUUCCUGGGUUAGAGAGCACAGUCACAAAACACUUAUUCAAGCAAAUUUCAUUUUGAUUCCUGCAGCCGAGAAAGCUUCAGCAUCAUUUUCUCAUCUGCUUCUCCACUUCACUUACUUACUUGGACAACCUUCUCUCCUCUGCUCCAGCUGAAACAACCUUUCGCCGGCACCGUUCCAACCAUCUUUUACUUUCGCAUUCAUUGCAAUCAGAUGGUGUGACGUAUUAUUGGCCUGUUUAUGGUUUAGAGCCUCUCCUCCCACACAGUAGGUAGCUGGGGCUUCUUUGGCUAUAGAAAAUUGGUGAUGAGAGAAGCUCCAUCAUUUUCUAGAGAGAUCCUAGAAGAAGAGGAAAAGAUGUUCUGAAUUGUACCUGUCAGUUUCCAGAGCUGAAAGAGGAAAUCUGCCUCAAAGUCAAGACAAACAAAAAACGGAGAAUGGACUGACA